This 469-nucleotide ribosomal RNA is filed under the name uncultured bacterium. Its description in RNAcentral is "partial 16S ribosomal RNA". It matches the Rfam family "Bacterial small subunit ribosomal RNA", at positions 28 to 507 of the family's 1533-position model. The record is from RNAcentral.
GACGAACGCUGGCGGCGUGCUUAACACAUGCAAGUCGAACGGAAAGGCCCUGCUUGCUGGGUGGUCGAGUGGCGAACGGGUGAGUAACACGUGAGUGAUCUGCCCCUUAUUUUGGGAUAAGCCUGGGAAACUGGGUCUAAUACUGGAUAGGAGCAUGCUGCAGGUGGUGUGGGGGGGAGAUUAGUUUCGGUAGGGGAUGAGCUCGCGGCCUAUCAGCUUGUUGGUGGGGUAAUGGCUGACCAAGGCGGCGACGGGUAGCCGGCCUGAGAGGGUGGACGGCGACCUUGGGACGGAGAUACGGCCCAGCAGACUACGAGGGGAGGCAGUAGGGAAGAUUGCAGCACAAGGGGAGGAAUGAUGAAGCAGCGACGCGGGGUGGGUGACGGCCUUCGGGUUGUAAACUACCUUCAGCCAUGAGGAAGAACUUGUAGUGACGGUAGUGGCAGAAGAAGCACCGGCUAACUACGUG